Molecule: ribosomal RNA, 256 nt
Filed under: uncultured bacterium
Lineage: Bacteria
Description: partial 16S ribosomal RNA
Rfam family: Bacterial small subunit ribosomal RNA
Source: RNAcentral
UACAGAGACUGCAAGCGUUAUUCGGAUUCACUGGGCGUAAAGGGUGCGACAGGCGGCCAAGUGCGUGAGGCGUGAAAGCCGUGGAGCUUAAACUCCAGAAUUGCACCUCAAACUACAUGGCUAGAGCAUUGGAGAGGGUAGCAGAAUUCAUGGUGUAGCAGUGAAAUGCGUAGAUAUCAUGAGGAAUACCAGAGGCGAAGGCGGCUACCUGGACAAUUGCUGACGCUCAGGCACGAAAGCGUGGGGAGCAAAAGGG